This 253-nucleotide ribosomal RNA is filed under the name uncultured bacterium. RNAcentral describes it as "partial 16S ribosomal RNA". It matches the Rfam family "Bacterial small subunit ribosomal RNA", at positions 524 to 776 of the family's 1533-position model. The record is from RNAcentral.
UACGUAGGGGGCAAGCGUUGUCCGGAUUUAUUGGGCGUAAAGAGCGUGUAGGCGGCCAAGCAGGUCUGCUGUGAAAACUCGAGGCUUAACCUCGAGAUGUCGGCGGAAACCAUCUGGCUAGAGUCCGGAAGAGGAGAGUGGAAUUCCUGGUGUAGCGGUGAAAUGCGCAGAUAUCGGGAAGAACACCCGUGGCGAAGGCGGCUCUCUGGGACGGUACUGACGCUGAGACGCGAAAGCGUGGGGAGCGAACAGG